Molecule: ribosomal RNA, 1175 nt
Filed under: Staphylococcus aureus
Lineage: Bacteria; Bacillati; Bacillota; Bacilli; Caryophanales; Staphylococcaceae
Description: partial 23S ribosomal RNA
Rfam family: Bacterial large subunit ribosomal RNA
Source: RNAcentral
CUCUAUACGGAGUUACAAAGGACGACAUUAGACGAAUCAUCUGGAAAGAUGAAUCAAAGAAGGUAAUAAUCCUGUAGUCGAAAAUGUUGUCUCUCUUGAGUGGAUCCUGAGUACGACGGAGCACGUGAAAUUCCGUCGGAAUCUGGGAGGACCAUCUCCUAAGGCUAAAUACUCUCUAGUGACCGAUAGUGAACCAGUACCGUGAGGGAAAGGUGAAAAGCACCCCGGAAGGGGAGUGAAAUAGAACCUGAAACCGUGUGCUUACAAGUAGUCAGAGCCCGUUAAUGGGUGAUGGCGUGCCUUUUGUAGAAUGAACCGGCGAGUUACGAUUUGAUGCAAGGUUAAGCAGUAAAUGUGGAGCCGUAGCGAAAGCGAGUCUGAAUAGGGCGUUUAGUAUUUGGUCGUAGACCCGAAACCAGGUGAUCUACCCUUGGUCAGGUUGAAGUUCAGGUAACACUGAAUGGAGGACCGAACCGACUUACGUUGAAAAGUGAGCGGAUGAACUGAGGGUAGCGGAGAAAUUCCAAUCGAACCUGGAGAUAGCUGGUUCUCUCCGAAAUAGCUUUAGGGCUAGCCUCAAGUGAUGAUUAUUGGAGGUAGAGCACUGUUUGGACGAGGGGCCCCUCUCGGGUUACCGAAUUCAGACAAACUCCGAAUGCCAAUUAAUUUAACUUGGGAGUCAGAACAUGGGUGAUAAGGUCCGUGUUCGAAAGGGAAACAGCCCAGACCACCAGCUAAGGUCCCAAAAUAUAUGUUAAGUGGAAAAGGAUGUGGCGUUGCCCAGACAACUAGGAUGUUGGCUUAGAAGCAGCCAUCAUUUAAAGAGUGCGUAAUAGCUCACUAGUCGAGUGACACUGCGCCGAAAAUGUACCGGGGCUAAACAUAUUACCGAAGCUGUGGAUUGUCCUUUGGACAAUGGUAGGAGAGCGUUCUAAGGGCGUUGAAGCAUGAUCGUAAGGACAUGUGGAGCGCUUAGAAGUGAGAAUGCCGGUGUGAGUAGCGAAAGACGGGUGAGAAUCCCGUCCACCGAUUGACUAAGGUUUCCAGAGGAAGGCUCGUCCGCUCUGGGUUAGUCGGGUCCUAAGCUGAGGCCGACAGGCGUAGGCGAUGGAUAACAGGUUGAUAUUCCUGUACCACCUAUAAUCGUUUUAAUCGAUGGGGGGACGCAGUAGGAU